UGCAUAUCAAUAAGCGGAGGAAAAGAAACCAACAGGGAUUGCCCUAGUAACGGCGAGUGAAGCGGCAACAGCUCAAAUUUGAAAUCUGGCUCUUUCAGAGUCCGAGUUGUAAUUUGCAGAGGGCGCUUUGGCUUUGGCAGCGGUCCAAGUUCCUUGGAACAGGACGUCACAGAGGGUGAGAAUCCCGUACGUGGUCGCUAGCUAUUGCCGUGUAAAGCCCCUUCGACGAGUCGAGUUGUUUGGGAAUGCAGCUCUAAAUGGGAGGUAAAUUUCUUCUAAAGCUAAAUAUUGGCCAGAGACCGAUAGCGCACAAGUAGAGUGAUCGAAAGAUGAAAAGCACUUUGGAAAGAGAGUCAAACAGCACGUGAAAUUGUUGAAAGGGAAGCGCUUGCAGCCAGACUUGCUUGCAGUUGCUCAUCCGGGCUUUUGCCCGGUGCACUCUUCUGUAGGCAGGCCAGCAUCAGUUUGGGCGGUGGGAUAAAGGUCUCUGUCACGUACCUCUCUUCGGGGAGGCCUUAUAGGGGAGACGACAUACCACCAGCCUAGACUGAGGUCCGCGCAUCUGCUAGGAUGCUGGCGUAAUGGCUGUAAGCGGCCCGUCUUGAA
RNAcentral lists this ribosomal RNA (606 nucleotides) under Bipolaris cynodontis. RNAcentral's name for it is "partial large subunit ribosomal RNA". It matches the Rfam family "Eukaryotic large subunit ribosomal RNA", at positions 37 to 658 of the family's 3401-position model. Lineage: Eukaryota; Fungi; Ascomycota; Dothideomycetes; Pleosporales; Pleosporaceae. The record is from RNAcentral.